Long non-coding RNA from Planococcus citri (citrus mealybug), 2574 nucleotides. RefSeq lists it as uncharacterized. The transcript has 5 exons. NCBI's taxonomy places the organism in Eukaryota, Metazoa, Arthropoda, Insecta, Hemiptera, Pseudococcidae. The record is from RefSeq and is a predicted model, not a curated record.
UCGUCUUCGAAUGUGAGAAAUAGAUACCUAUGUAUUGUUGCAAAAAGCAAAAACUUGUUGGAAAUCAGCAUAGCAUACACUACUGCUCACUGAAGGAGAUAGAAACUGCUUUUUAAGAAGGAGUCGUCUGUCGUCUUAUAAUAAGAAGUGUGUUUUAAGAUUUUUUAAUAACUUGACUAGGUACCAUAUUUAAAAUAUCUUAAAUAACUUUUUAUUUUUUAUUUUAUUGGUGCAAAUUGUGAAAGUGGAGUGUUGUGCAUCCGGAAAUUUUUUAUUUGUCAACUUGCGAUUUAUGAAGUGAAGUGAAGUGAAGUGAAGUGAAGUGAAGUGUUUGUGUCCGGAUUUUUUUUUUUAGUAGACUUUCAAUUCAACAUUUCGAGUGGAGAUUUCUUGAAACUUCGUUGCAAUUCUCACCAGGAUGUCGCAGGAACGGUGUACAUAUCGAAAUGGCCAAUGCGACCUAUCCGGUUGUUAUUCUAAUAAAGUUGAUUUCCCCAGAAUUCAGUUGUGUCAUGCGGAAAACAAGCUAUUACAGAUAGCAAAGGAUCCUGUGUAAGAGCAUUCGAAAGCAGAGCAGAAAAACCUGUCAAUAACUGCCCUGGAGAAAGAUCUUACAUUACCAAUCGACAAAAUAUGGCUCAGUUCACCAAUUUUGAGGCAAAAACUCAAGGCAGAUACAACCAUGCAUCCAAAACUUGAACAGUAUAUCGAAAUGGCCAAUGCGACCUAUCCGGUUGUUAUUCUAAUAAGGUUUAUUUCCCCAGAAUUCAGUUGUGUCAUGCGGAAAAAGGAUCUGUUGGAAAACAAGCAAUUACAGAUAGCAAAGAUUUGUCAGAGAUUUCGGAUGAAGAAGACAAAUUAAACCAGAGUUGAAAGAACCGUAAAAGAACAGAACAAAAAAAGAAGGGUGCAUUUUUUGUAGAACAAGAACAAAAACAGAAAAAACUCCACUGUUCUUUCACCUGAGUGGUUCUUUAUCAGUUAUUUGUUAUUGUUCUAUCAUUUUUUUCAAAAUACUUACAUCCACUCACCAGACACCCUGUAUAUAACUUUUUUUUGAAUUUUCAAUUUAAUUCAAAAGCUGCGAACUUUUGGAUCAUGUUGAUAGUCGUCGUUCGUAGGAAAUAGGAAUGGUGGAGGCCUUGUGAAAUCAGUUCAGUCGUUUUCUAGGUAAUGAGUUUUAAAAAAUUUGAAAAAAUUUUGUCAACUGAUAAACUGGGAAGCUUUGAGCUUUUGUAACAUGAUUUCAAAUUUGAUCAAAAUCGCUUCAAAGGUUACUGAGAAAAAUUGAAUUUUAAAUGAAUUUUUGUGCCAAAAGUGAAAAAUGUUUUUAAAAAUGUUGUUGCUCUGUAAACUUGGCAGCUUUGAAAUUUUGAAAGAUGAUGAUGAUGAUGACAAAAUGACAAAAAAUUUAACCUUAUGUUCUCAAAGUAAUGUAAUAUUAAGUAUUUGUAUAAAUGAAUGAAUAAGUAAAUUGAGAUAAUUUAUUGAAAAAAUCAUACGCAUCGAAAUCAUAGAAAUUACGUGGGAAUUUUAAACAUUUUUUAGGAAAUAUGUUUCGAACAUUUAUGGAAAAUUUUUAAUUUAAAAUUAAGUCAUGAUUUUGAGGUACCUAAUUAAUCGAGAAAACGUCACGUGCCCAAUCAAAAUGCUGUGAAAUUAUACAAGGAAUUCAAAUAUUUCAAUCAUAAUAAUUAAAUGGGAAAUAUUUUAGGGGAAAAUGAAACAUGCAAGAGCUCUAAGUUCAUUUCUAAUUCAUUCAAGUCUUAAAAACCCCCCAAAAAUUGGUUAAUUUUGAUGUAAACUUUGACUUUCUUAAAAUAAAGGGUAUAUGAAGAUAAGGCACAGUUUUUGACCCAGAGAUGGAUUUCGACGAAAAUCACUCCAAAAAGUGACCCUUGACCCAUCUAGCACAUUUUUUAAUGGUGUGAUGGGCCAUGAUUUGUUUUUUUAAAUUUAUUUUCGAGUUUUUCGCUAGGUGUUGAUACAAAUUUCACAUUUAUUUUUAUGUUGACUCCUAAAGGUGAGAGAAAGCCCAAGAAACGUUUCAAAAUUUUUGGACUAUUUUUCACGAAAUUGUGGCAUUUUUAAAAUUUUGAGCGGCCAUUUUGUAGUAUCGGUAUAUUGGUCCCAUAUGGACGCAUUUUAUGUGGAAAAAUGACAACUGUACCUCCGCAACUUCUUCACAAAGUGGCCGCUCAAAAUUUUAAAAACGCCACAAUUUGGUGAAAAAUGGUCCAAAAAUUUUGAAAAAAUUUCAUGGGCUUUCCCUCACCCUUUUUUAAAAAACAAAUUAUGGCCCCUCCCUCCUGGAAAAAUGCGCUGGAGGCCUAAAAAUUUCGUCCUCGUAUGUAUUUACUCAUCAUGGGUCUUUGGAGUGAGCUUCGUCAAAAUCCAUAUCUGAGCAAAAAACUGUGCCCAUCCUCCUAUACCCACAUUUUUGAAUUGUAAUGUAAGUUGUGGUUUGUAUGCAAUCAAAACUUUUUCUACAAAGGUAUAUUCAAUUCUAUGUAUGUACAUUGAUAUUUUAGAAUAAUUUAUUUAAAACAACAUGUUGAAUAAAUAAUUUUUUUG